UACAGAGGUCCCAAGCGUUGUUCGGAUUCACUGGGCGUAAAGGGUGCGUAGGCGGUCGGGUAAGUCUGGCGUGAAAUCUCCAAGCCUAACUUGGAAACUGCGUUGGAUACUAUCCGGCUCGAGGAAUGGAGGGGAGACUGGAAUACUUGGUGUAGCAGUGAAAUGCGUAGAUAUCAAGUGGAACACCAGUGGCGAAGGCGAGUCUCUGGACAUUUCCUGACGCUGAGGCACGAAAGCCAGGGGGGCAAACGGG
RNAcentral lists this ribosomal RNA (253 nucleotides) under uncultured bacterium. RNAcentral's name for it is "partial 16S ribosomal RNA". It matches the Rfam family "Bacterial small subunit ribosomal RNA", at positions 524 to 776 of the family's 1533-position model. The record is from RNAcentral.